UACGGGGGGGGCAAGCGUUGUUCGGAAUUACUGGGCGUAAAGGGCUCGUAGGUGGCCAACUAAGUCAGACGUGAAAUCCCUCGGCUUAACCGGGGAACUGCGUCUGAUACUGGAUGGCUUGAGUUUGGGAGAGGGACGCGGAAUUCCAGGUGUAGCGGUGAAAUGCGCAGAUAUCAGGAGGAACACCGAUGGCGAAGGCAGGUCUCUGGGCCACUACUGACGCUGAGGAGCGAAAGCGUGGGGAGCAAACAGG
This 253-nucleotide ribosomal RNA is filed under the name uncultured bacterium. RNAcentral describes it as "partial 16S ribosomal RNA". It matches the Rfam family "Bacterial small subunit ribosomal RNA", at positions 524 to 776 of the family's 1533-position model. The record is from RNAcentral.